CGGAGGGUGCAAGCGUUAUCCGGAUUCACUGGGUUUAAAGGGUGCGUAGGUGGGUCUGUAAGUCCGUGGUGAAAUCUCCGAGCUUAACUUGGAAACUGCCAUGGAUACUAUAGAUCUUGAAUACUGUGGAGGUCAGCGGAAUAUGUCAUGUAGCGGUGAAAUGCUUAGAUAUGACAUAGAACACCAAUUGCGAAGGCAGCUGGCUACACAAAUAUUGACACUGAGGCACGAAAGCGUGGGGAUCAAACAGGAUUAGAUACUCUGGUAGUCCACGCCCUAAACUAUGGAUACUCGACAUACGCGAUACACCGUGUGUGUCUGAGCGAAAGCAUUAAGUAUCCCACCUGGGAAGUACGAUCGCAAGAUUG
This 368-nucleotide ribosomal RNA is filed under the name uncultured organism. Its description in RNAcentral is "bacterial SSU rRNA". It matches the Rfam family "Bacterial small subunit ribosomal RNA", at positions 526 to 896 of the family's 1533-position model. The record is from RNAcentral.